This 478-nucleotide long non-coding RNA is filed under the name Oryza brachyantha (malo sina). RNAcentral's name for it is "long non-coding RNA (OBRA_LNC000259)". Lineage: Eukaryota; Viridiplantae; Streptophyta; Magnoliopsida; Poales; Poaceae. The record is from RNAcentral.
AUGGAGGGAGUAACCAGCUAGGUGGCCGCCUCACGCGCACAUGGGUGGAGGGAGUAACCAGCUAGGUGGCCGCCUCACGCACGCACACGUACGCACGAGCACGAAAGCGAUGUGGACAUGUGACAAUGUAAAUUCACCCUACUACUGUGGAUGGGAUGCAUUUGGAGCUGAAGCUGAUGAACCUUUCACCACAAGUGCACGCUUGCUCAUGGGCAUUCGAGCUGAUGUAUGGCUCUGUGCUGACCAUGACACUGCAUUCACUGCCGUUAGCACUUGAUCGGCCUGCUCUUAGGAUGGUGCUGAUCGGCCUUUCAUGAUGGUAGUGCCGACACCACCGAUGAUGCUAAGACGGUUGUGUGGUUAGUGAGACUGUAUACGGUGCAGGAGUCGAACUUGUAAUAUGAAUGAUGUAUCCUCUAGUGCAUACUAUACCUAUCUAAAAAAUGAUUUACGUUUUGGUGUAACCAAUGGAUUGUCG